RNAcentral lists this ribosomal RNA (341 nucleotides) under Pheidole adrianoi. RNAcentral describes it as "partial 12S ribosomal RNA". The record is from RNAcentral. Lineage: Eukaryota; Metazoa; Arthropoda; Insecta; Hymenoptera; Formicidae.
UUAUAAUUAAAAGUUAAUUAAAAAGAGAUUAAAUGAAUUCAUUAAAUUUAAAUUAUUUGGCGGUAUUUUAAAUAGUUAGAGGAAUUUGUUAAUUAAAUGAUAGCCCACGAGUGGAAUGUCCUAGUAAAAUUUUUAUGUAUUGUUGUAUAAAAAUUAUUUUAUAAGAAUUAUAAUUAAUAAAUUUGUUAUAAUUUGAAUUCAAAUCAAAAUGUAGAAUUAUUAGGUUUAAAUGAAUUACAAUUUAAUUUAAUAUUAGAGUUAUUUUUUUAAUAAAAAUAAUGAAAACGGAUUUAAAAGUAAAUUUAAAGAAAUAUUUAAAUUGAAAUAGUAAUUAAAAUAUG